UGAAAAGAAAGAAGCUUCUCCGUUCGCACGCAGACGCAGCGACUCGCAGGCAGAUAGAUGCGGCCAGGCCAGGCGCCCGGCACAGCUGGAGCGCUUUGCUGCGCCUGCACGGCUCGGCUCGGCUGGCCCUGGCCUGCCUCUGCUCUGCCUGCCUGGCACACCACUGCCGCUCGCCUGCUCCAGCGCAGCGGCAGGGCACGUGCGCGCGCCAGCCAGCCCGGCGCGAUCCGUCUAAUCGCCGCGAUUGGGAGGGACCUGCUCUGGCUGUGGCUGGAAUCCGAGCCGGUGGGCGAUGGCGCACAACUUGCACUGCAGUACUAGUACGAGCCACGUGGGUCCCGUCCCGCCCGGCCCCAUUAGCUGUGCCCAGCCUGGACGGAGUACGGACGGACACCAGGAGUCCAGGACAUGGACACUCGCACUCCGCUCCGUCCUCUCUCGCGUAACAGCGCACGCCUCUCAUCCUUCGCUGCCUCGUGGGGGCCACAGGCGGGUGCUCUGGUCUCUGUGGGCGACGCCGAGCUGGCUGACCGGACCGGAUUAGUUAACGGCAGCCGGGGAAUGGAAUUAACGCGGCGUGUUUUUAUAAUUGAGGUGGCGGAUACCAUACGUGCAGGCCCGCCGUGGACGGAGCUGCGGCUGCUGGACAGCACAGCGUCGGCCUUUUUCUUUUUCUCUCGGUACUAGUACAAAGUACAAAGAUAAAAAUACAUUUGUUUUCGAGAUCAGCGAUGAGUCAUCGCCAUGCAGUGCGCGCUGUUCACUGCACGUCCACUCCAGCAGUGGGCAGUGGCCCGCUGGUGGCGUUCUCCCGCUGAGUCAGCCGAGUCCGCGCCCGUGCGUCUCUGUCUCGUGACGAAUCCGGCCCUCUGUGGCUGUCACAUGACGGAUCCGGCCCUCGGACACCCUGGAUUAGCUCCAGUAUUUAAAGAAAGGUUGGUUUAGUGGAUGAGGGCACCAGCUGAGCUGCCACGCUAUAGCGCAUUGGAUUCUUCAUGUUACAAAAUAUGUAUAACAUGUGAUCAACCCCCUCCCCUGACACUUUUCCCCCAAGGGACACACCCCUUGGGAGACUCUGUAUCCACUUGUAUAUAAGCAAGUAACUCUGUAAUAAAGACAACAGUUCUGUCA
Molecule: RNA transcript, 1131 nt
Organism: Zea mays
Lineage: Eukaryota; Viridiplantae; Streptophyta; Magnoliopsida; Poales; Poaceae
Exons: 1
Source: RefSeq, marked validated